RNAcentral lists this ribosomal RNA (300 nucleotides) under uncultured Erysipelothrix sp. Its description in RNAcentral is "bacterial SSU rRNA". It matches the Rfam family "Bacterial small subunit ribosomal RNA", at positions 1079 to 1382 of the family's 1533-position model. Lineage: Bacteria; Bacillati; Bacillota; Erysipelotrichia; Erysipelotrichales; Erysipelotrichaceae. The record is from RNAcentral.
GGUUAGUCCGCACGAGCGCAACCCUUGUCUUUAGUUACCAUCAUUCAGUUGGGGACUCUAGAGAGACUGCCGGUGAUAAACCGGAGGAAGGUGGGGAUGACGUCAAAUCAUCAUGCCCCUUAUGGCCUGGGCUACAAACGUAAUACAAUGGCGUAUACAAAGGGAUGCGAAAGGGCGACCUGGAGCAAAACUCACAAAGUACGUCUCAGUUCAGAUUGGAGUCUGCAACUCGACUCCAUGAAGGCGGAAUCGCUAGUAAUCGCGGAUCAGCAUGCCGCGGUGAAUACGUUCUCGGGGUUU